RNAcentral lists this ribosomal RNA (255 nucleotides) under uncultured Pseudomonas sp. RNAcentral describes it as "partial 16S ribosomal RNA". It matches the Rfam family "Bacterial small subunit ribosomal RNA", at positions 96 to 351 of the family's 1533-position model. Lineage: Bacteria; Pseudomonadati; Pseudomonadota; Gammaproteobacteria; Pseudomonadales; Pseudomonadaceae. The record is from RNAcentral.
CGGCGGACGGGUGAGUAAUGCCUAGGAAUCUGCCUGGUAGUGGGGGACAACGUUUCGAAAGGAACGCUAAUACCGCAUACGUCCUACGGGAGAAAGCAGGGACCUUCGGGCCUUGCGCUAUCAGAUGAGCCUAGGUCGGAUUAGCUAGUUGGUGAGGUAAUGGCUCACCAAGGCGACGAUCCGUAACUGGUCUGAGAGGAUGAUCAGUCACACUGGAACUGAGACACGGUCCAGACUCCUACGGGAGGCAGAGAA